Molecule: ribosomal RNA, 765 nt
Filed under: Vibrio sp. ACH-24
Lineage: Bacteria; Pseudomonadati; Pseudomonadota; Gammaproteobacteria; Vibrionales; Vibrionaceae
Description: bacterial SSU rRNA
Rfam family: Bacterial small subunit ribosomal RNA
Source: RNAcentral
GGCCUAACACAUGCAAGUCGAGCGGAAACGACACUAACAAUCCUUCGGGUGCGUUAAUGGGCGUCGAGCGGCGGACGGGUGAGUAAUGCCUAGGAAAUUGCCUUGAUGUGGGGGAUAACCAUUGGAAACGAUGGCUAAUACCGCAUAAUGCCUACGGGCCAAAGAGGGGGACCUUCGGGCCUCUCGCGUCAAGAUAUGCCUAGGUGGGAUUAGCUAGUUGGUGAGGUAAUGGCUCACCAAGGCGACGAUCCCUAGCUGGUCUGAGAGGAUGAUCAGCCACACUGGAACUGAGACACGGUCCAGACUCCUACGGGAGGCAGCAGUGGGGAAUAUUGCACAAUGGGCGAAAGCCUGAUGCAGCCAUGCCGCGUGUAUGAAGAAGGCCUUCGGGUUGUAAAGUACUUUCAGUUGUGAGGAAGGGGGUAGCGUUAAUAGCGCUAUCUCUUGACGUUAGCAACAGAAGAAGCACCGGCUAACUCCGUGCCAGCAGCCGCGGUAAUACGGAGGGUGCGAGCGUUAAUCGGAAUUACUGGGCGUAAAGCGCAUGCAGGUGGUUCAUUAAGUCAGAUGUGAAAGCCCGGGGCUCAACCUCGGAACUGCAUUUGAAACUGGUGAACUAGAGUACUGUAGAGGGGGGUAGAAUUUCAGGUGUAGCGGUGAAAUGCGUAGAGAUCUGAAGGAAUACCAGUGGCGAAGGCGGCUCCCUGGACAGAUACUGACACUCAGAUGCGAAAGCGUGGGGAGCAAACAGGAUUAGAUACCCUG